CCAAUAGCGUAUAUUAAAGUUGUUGCAGUUAAAAAGCUCGUAGUUGAAUUUCGGGGUCAGUAGGUUGGUCAUGCCUCCGGUAUGUACUGGUCUCACUGAUUCCUCCUUCCUGAUGAGCCGUAAUGCCAUUAAUUUGGUGUUGCGAGGAAUCUGGACUGUUACUUUGAAAAAAUUAGAGUGUUUAAAGCAGGCUAACGCUUGAAUACAUUAGCAUGGAAUAAUGAAAUAGGACGUUCGAUCUUAUUUUGUUGGUUUCUAAGAUUGACGUAAUGAUUAAUAGGGAUAGUUGGGGGCAUUAGUAUUCAAUUGUCAGAGGUGAAAUUCUUGGAUUUAUUGAAGACUAACUACUGCGAAAGCAUUUGCCAAGGAUGUUUUCAUUAAUCAAGAACGAAAGUUAGGGGAUCGAAGACGAUCAGAUACCGUCGUAGUCUUAACCAUAAACUAUGCCGACUAGGGAUCGGAUGAUGUUAAUUUUUUAAUGACUCAUUCGGCGCCUUACG
This 500-nucleotide ribosomal RNA is filed under the name uncultured Glomeromycotina. Its description in RNAcentral is "partial small subunit ribosomal RNA". It matches the Rfam family "Eukaryotic small subunit ribosomal RNA", at positions 591 to 1092 of the family's 1831-position model. Lineage: Eukaryota; Fungi; Glomeromycota. The record is from RNAcentral.